This 1813-nucleotide long non-coding RNA is filed under the name Olea europaea subsp. europaea. The record is from RNAcentral. Lineage: Eukaryota; Viridiplantae; Streptophyta; Magnoliopsida; Lamiales; Oleaceae.
GAAUAUGUUAAAAAAUAUAUAUGUAUUGAAAGAUUGGUGUUGGAAAAAAAAAAAAGAAAAGAAAAGGAGGGAAACUUUGAAAAUGAGUUUGUGAAAUAGGUGCUUAUUCUUUGAGUUUCUUUGGAUUAUGUGAUGUUAAUCACUUAAAUUAUGGAAUUGGGGUUGAUUUCUCCAUUUUUAGGUAAUAAUUAUAAGCAAUUUUUGGACAAAUCCUACACAGGCGCUGCUUUUGAAAUUCUGCCCAGAAAAGUGCUAGUUUUGUCAAUGUUUUUGGUGACAGAUGUCAAUAAAUAGACAUUGGUGCUAGCAUUCAAUAUUUUGGAAUUAUAGUGCUAGUUUUGUCAAUCAUCUAAUUUUCUUGGAUUUCUAGUAUUUUAACCAAAUUAAGUGUUAAUUAUUUGGAGUUUUGGUGUUUAAAUAAUUUAUAAAGGAGUAUAUGUUGUUAGUGACUUUAAUUGGGAUUACGAGGUUGAAAAUAAAAUAUAUCAUGUUCCCAUUGGUAAAUUAAUAUUUCAAAUGGUAGGAAAAUACUCAAGGCAUCUUGGUAAGGGAAUAUGAUUUACUAGAGCGAGUGCGUAAUAUCAUACUUGAUAUUUGAAGUUGAAGCGGUGACAAAAGAUUGAAACCAUGGUCGACUAUUACUUGGUGAGUGGAUAAAACUUAUUUUUCAGAAAUAAGUCUUCUUUAAAUUUUAAAGUUAUUUAUUUUAUAAAGUUGACUUCAUAGCAUGAUUUUCAGAAUAAAAUGAAUUUUUUCAUCAAUUGCUUUUAAAGUUAAAUUCAGUUUAGUUAAAUUAUUUUAGUAACAUGUAUUAUAUUUUUAUUACAUGUUUCAGUAUAGUUAAAGUUAUUUCUAAAAAUCACUAAAAAGUACCCAGGUGAUUUUACCCGAGUUUGCACUGAUGUGAAUGUGUUUCCACAGUGUAUGACUAGUUAGUGAUUUUACUCGCUCUGCACUAUCGUGAAUGUGUUUCCAUAGUGUAUGACCAGAUUAUCAGAGGUUUUUGGGACCCACUCUCGUACACACAUAGGCUUUGAGCCGUGUACUAGGGUGAUUAGCCUUUGGGGCAACUCUGCGUACGUAUGACCAGAUUAUCAGCUAUCAGAUUAUCAGAUUUGAAUGGCUUUGCCUUAUACAUCGAGAUUACUCUGUACAUGUGUAAGGCUAUUCAUUGGAUACUCUUUAUGGUGUGAUUUUUCAGUACUUAUUUAGUUCUCAGAUUUCAGAUUAUGGAAUUUAGUUAAUUCAGUUUUCAGAAUAAAGCUUUCAGCUUCUAGUAUUGAGCAGCAGCAAUAUUUCAUAGAUUUUCAUGAAUAUCAGAUUCUUUAUAAUUGUUAUACCUUACAGAUGCUUAUCUAGAAUUUAGAACAAAGAAUUUUAUGAUGAAAUUAUGUUUAGUUUUAAAAGUGUUACCAGAUUUCAGAAUUUCUCAAAGUUUUGAUAGAGCAAGAAUUUUCAGAAUAUAUGCAUAAAAAAAAAUAUGUUUAUUUGUAAAUUAUCCACUCACAUAACUUUAAGCUCAUAUAUUUUUUCACCUUUUUCUUUAUCAGACAGAAAACAGACAAAUUGAGCAGCUUUGGAGCAUGUCGAACUACCGAAUUGAGCCACGCAUCAUAAGUUGUAUGACAUCUUUUAUCAGAUUAUACAUUGUGUUCUUUUGGGAUACACAUAGGUUAAAUCAGAAAAGUUCAUUAUGGGCUCAUUAGACAUUUGGUAUCUUUAGUACUUUUAAAGAUUAUUGGUUGUAAAGCAAGUAAAUAUUGAUUUCCUAGCAUUUUAUUUGAAUAGUUUGUAUUUUUGAGGGACUCGCAUA